RNAcentral lists this ribosomal RNA (429 nucleotides) under uncultured bacterium. RNAcentral's name for it is "bacterial SSU rRNA". It matches the Rfam family "Bacterial small subunit ribosomal RNA", at positions 355 to 776 of the family's 1533-position model. The record is from RNAcentral.
UAGGGAAUCUUCCACAAUGGGCGAAAGCCUGAUGGAGCAACGCCGCGUGUGUGAUGAAGGCUUUCGGGUCGUAAAGCACUGUUGUAUGGGAAGAACAGCUAGAAUAGGAAAUGAUUUUAGUUUGACGGUACCAUACCAGAAAGGGACGGCUAAAUACGUGCCAGCAGCCGCGGUAAUACGUAUGUCCCGAGCGUUAUCCGGAUUUAUUGGGCGUAAAGCGAGCGCAGACGGUUUAUUAAGUCUGAUGUGAAAGCCCGGAGCUCAACUCCGGAAUGGCAUUGGAAACUGGUUAACUUGAGUGCAGUAGAGGUAAGUGGAACUCCAUGUGUAGCGGUGGAAUGCGUAGAUAUAUGGAAGAACACCAGUGGCGAAGGCGGCUUACUGGACUGCAACUGACGUUGAGGCUCGAAAGUGUGGGUAGCAAACAGG